Molecule: transfer RNA, 58 nt
Filed under: Rhodomonas sp. CCMP768
Lineage: Eukaryota; Cryptophyceae; Pyrenomonadales; Pyrenomonadaceae
Rfam family: tRNA
About the family: Transfer RNA (tRNA) molecules are approximately 80 nucleotides in length.
Source: RNAcentral
UAGCUCAGAUGGUAGAGCGACAGACUCUUAAUUUGUUGGUCAUGGGUUCGAUUCCCAU